UGGGGAAUAUUGGACAAUGGGCGCAAGCCUGAUCCAGCCAUGCCGCGUGAGUGAUGAAGGCCUUAGGGUUGUAAAGCUCUUUCGCCAGGGACGAUAAUGACGGUACCUGGAUAAGAAGCCCCGGCUAACUUCGUGCCAGCAGCCGCGGUAAUACGAAGGGGGCUAGCGUUGUUCGGAAUUACUGGGCGUAAAGCGUAUGCAGGCGGACUUUUAAGUCGGGGGUGAAAUCCCGAGGCUCAACCUCGGAACUGCCUUCGAUACUGGAAGUCUUGAGUCCGGGAGAGGUGAGCGGAACUCCGAGUGUAGAGGUGAAAUUCGUAGAUAUUCGGAAGAACACCAGUGGCGAAGGCGGCUCACUGGCCCGGUACUGACGCUGAGAUACGAAAGCGUGGGGAGCAAA
Molecule: ribosomal RNA, 400 nt
Filed under: uncultured bacterium
Lineage: Bacteria
Description: bacterial SSU rRNA
Rfam family: Bacterial small subunit ribosomal RNA
Source: RNAcentral